Molecule: non-coding RNA, 117 nt
Filed under: Opitutaceae bacterium
Lineage: Bacteria; Pseudomonadati; Verrucomicrobiota; Opitutia; Opitutales; Opitutaceae
Description: TPP sequence
Rfam family: TPP riboswitch aptamer (THI element)
About the family: Vitamin B(1) in its active form thiamin pyrophosphate (TPP) is an essential coenzyme that is synthesised by coupling of pyrimidine and thiazole moieties in bacteria. The previously detected thiamin-regulatory element, thi box was extended, resulting in a new, highly conserved RNA secondary structure, the THI element, which is widely distributed in eubacteria and also occurs in some archaea.
Source: RNAcentral
GGCCUUCCUUAGGGGUGACCUAGUCUGGGUCUGAGAUGUUUCCUUGCAACUGCACAGAAAUGAUCCCUUCGAACCUGAUCCGGUUGACACCGGCGUAGGAAAAGGAAGGGAGCGUAC